CAGCCGCCACGGUAAUACGUAGGGUGCGAGCGUUAAUCGGAAUUACUGGGCGUAAAGCGUGCGCAGGCGGUUGUGUAAGACAGGUGUGAAAUCCCCGGGCUCAACCUGGGAAUGGCAGUGGAUACUGGCUCGCUAGAGGGUGGGAGAGGGUGGUGGAAUUCCCGGAGUAGCGGUGAAAUGCGCAGAUACCGGGAGGAACGCCGAUGGCGAAGGCAGCCACCUGGUCCACUUCUGACGCUGAGGCGCGAAAGCGUGGGGAGCAAACCGGAUUAGAUACCCCGGUAGUCCCUGUCUCUUAUAC
RNAcentral lists this ribosomal RNA (301 nucleotides) under uncultured bacterium. RNAcentral describes it as "partial 16S ribosomal RNA". It matches the Rfam family "Bacterial small subunit ribosomal RNA", at positions 509 to 807 of the family's 1533-position model. The record is from RNAcentral.